RNAcentral lists this ribosomal RNA (466 nucleotides) under uncultured bacterium. RNAcentral's name for it is "bacterial SSU rRNA". It matches the Rfam family "Bacterial small subunit ribosomal RNA", at positions 338 to 795 of the family's 1533-position model. The record is from RNAcentral.
CCUANGGGGGGCAGCAGUGGGGAAUCUUGGACAAUGGGGGCAACCCUGAUCCAGCGAUGCCGCGUGGGUGAAGAAGGCCUUCGGGUUGUAAAGCCCUUUAGGCGGGGAAGAAGGAUAUGGGCUGAAUAUGCCUGUAUUUUGACGGUACCCGCAGAAUAAGCACCGGCAAACUCUGUGCCAGCAGCCGCGGUAAUACAGAGGGGUGCGAGCGUUAAUCGGAUUUACUGGGCGUAAAGGGAGCGUAGGCGGUUGUAUGAGUGUGAUGUGAAAGCCCCGGGCUCAACCUGGGAAGCGCAUCGCAAACGAUACGACUAGAGUAUAUGAGAGGGUGGCGGAAUUUCCGGUGUAGCGGUGAAAUGCGUAGAGAGCGGAAGGAACGUCAAUGGCGAAGGCAGCCACCUGGCAUAAUACUGACGCUGAGGCUCGAAAGCGUGGGGAGCGAACAGGAUUAGAUACCCCANUANUC